UUCCCACUCGCUCCUGCGGAGGAAGGACAGUCAGCGAGAAAGAGACACCCAGAACCAAUCCUGAUCCGGUGGUCUCCAUGGCAACUGGCGCGGGCUGAGACGAUUUCUCAUAAAAAAAAAAAAACGUGACGUUUCAACGCGCCUGCCUCCUCCCUCCAACGACGACACGGCAGAAAAUCCAAUCUGGGCAGUGAUUGGAUUACGGAGGCGAAGCCAGACCCGGCUGGAGGAACCGGAGCUGAACACGGCUGCAGAUUAGUGAAGGCCAACGAGAGCGCGGCUGCCGCCAUCGGUACCUUUUGGGGUCAUGCGAAUGUCAAAGGUCUCGGGGAAAAUGUAGGUGGGGCGGUAGGGGUUUUCCUCAAAAGGCUCUGAGUGAGACAGAGGACAUGAAGGACAGGGACACCAAACUGACGACUCCGGCUCAGGAAAUCGGACUUACCGGAGGAGUAAAGAAAACGUGGUUCCAGUGAACAGAGCGGUCUUUAUUAGUCCAUAGGGAGUAAAUCUGUCUUCAUCAGCCUGGCUGUGACUGCUCACCCGAACAGGCACAAUGGGUUUGCUUAUGGGGCCG
This is a long non-coding RNA of Poeciliopsis prolifica (blackstripe livebearer), 574 nucleotides long. RefSeq lists it as uncharacterized. The record is from RefSeq and is a predicted model, not a curated record. NCBI's taxonomy places the organism in Eukaryota, Metazoa, Chordata, Actinopteri, Cyprinodontiformes, Poeciliidae. The transcript is spliced from 3 exons.